UGCAGUUGUUGUAUAAGUUCUUUGAUCGACAAGGGUUCUGUUUGUCCUUCCUGUGACCUGCCUUUUCUUCCUAAAGAUAUAAGGCUUGCUUUACAUGUGGAAAGGCUUGUGAGCAUUUUUCAAGAGAUGGAUGAUGCUAUCGGCACCAUUGUUCAAAGGAAAGCAUCUCCUCCUGGUUCCCCUGGUGUAAGGAUACCUGCCAAAAAAAACCCAGUCUCAGUCAACAAUCAUAUCGAAGCUAAGUCAAUAGGAGUACAACAUAUGCCCCAAGAGAAAUCGGGCCAUCUCCAUUCGCAUGGUUCUCCAUUGACUGGUGAGGGUAGUAAUAAAACUAGACAUGAUGGAGAAAAUCAGGAAAUAAUUUUAGUUGGAAGCAUGAAUUCGGAGCAAAAGUCUGGUAUAGUUGUUCCUUUGGACAAAGGGUCGCCUGAUUGCCCUUCAACAUUUAGCGAGAAUGGGGAUUCUAAUUUGGACAUUCAUGAUAGAUAUUCU
Long non-coding RNA from Musa acuminata AAA Group (dessert banana), 492 nucleotides. RefSeq lists it as uncharacterized. NCBI's taxonomy places the organism in Eukaryota, Viridiplantae, Streptophyta, Magnoliopsida, Zingiberales, Musaceae. The record is from RefSeq and is a predicted model, not a curated record. The transcript has 3 exons.